CCUACGGGAGGCUGCAGUGGGGAAUAUUGCACAAUGGGGGAAACCCUGAUGCAGCGACGCCGCGUGAGUGAAGAAGUAUCUCGGUAUGUAAAGCUCUAUCAGCAGGGAAGAAAAUGACGGUACCUGACUAAGAAGCCCCGGCGAACUACGGGCCAGCAGCCGCGGUAAUACGUAGGGGGCAAGCGUUAUCCGGAUUUACUGGGUGUAAAGGGAGCGUAGACGGCAGAGCAAGCCUGAAGUGAAAGGCCGCGGCCCAACUGAGGGACUGCUUUGGAAACUGGCCGGCUAGAGUGCUGGAGAGGUAAGUGGAAUUCGUAGUGUAGCGGUGAAAUGCGUAGAUAUUAGGAAGAACACCAAUGGCGAAGGCAGCUUACUGGACAUUAACUGACGCUGAGGCACGAAGGCCAGGGUAGCGAAAGGGAUUAGAUACCCCAGUAGUC
Molecule: ribosomal RNA, 440 nt
Filed under: uncultured bacterium
Lineage: Bacteria
Description: partial 16S ribosomal RNA
Rfam family: Bacterial small subunit ribosomal RNA
Source: RNAcentral